This 375-nucleotide unclassified non-coding RNA is filed under the name uncultured bacterium. Its description in RNAcentral is "contains 16S-23S intergenic spacer region". The record is from RNAcentral.
UCCGGUUUGUCACCGGCAGUCUGGCGUGAGUCCCCAACCCAAUGCUGGCAACACGCCACGGGGGUUGCGCUCGUUGCGGGACUUAACCCAACAUCUCACGACACGAGCUGACGACAGCCAUGCAGCAUCUGUGUGGCACCCUCGAAGGUCACACGUUUCCGUGCGCUUGCAGCCGCAUGUCAAGCCCAGGUAAGGUUCUUCGCGUUGCAUCGAAUUAAGCCACAUACUCCACCGCUUGUGCAGGCCCCCGUCAAUUUCUUUGAGUUUUAAUCUUGCGGCCGUACUCCCCAGGCGGGGCACUUAAUGCGUUAGCGACGGCACCGGGAGGGUCGCUCCCCCCGACGCCUAGUGCCCAUCGUUUACGGCGUGGACUAC